GAAAUUCUGUGACACAGUUAUGCACUGUCUCUCCAUUCUUAGAGAAACCAAAUGCUGACUGAAAUUGCUUCUUUUUACACAGAUUUAUGAAUGCAUCUUCUGACUUAGGAUGAUUCCUGUCAGUUUGAAGCCUUGACAGUACCAUUUAACAACUGACAAGAUGUACAGUGAACUGCCUGAGCAUCAGCUUGAAGUAGGCAACGAGAAGUUUCUUUGGGGCAUUUUCACAAGCAGAUCAGGACAAGUAAAUAUGAAUAUUUGCAGUCUUCUGUGAGGAAACUGGUGUCCUACAGCCUGAGGAGAAAAAGACCACUUUAUGAAAUGCUUCCACUUGGCGUGCCUCGAGGCGAAGUCAAGUGGGUGCCCUGUUUGCCCAAAGCGAGAGCUUGACAAAGUGAGCAAGGACCCAGAAACUGAGACACCUGGAGAUCAAGUGACUUAA
Molecule: long non-coding RNA, 442 nt
Filed under: Calidris pugnax (ruff)
Lineage: Eukaryota; Metazoa; Chordata; Aves; Charadriiformes; Scolopacidae
Description: lncRNA (ENSCPUG00000018655.1)
Source: RNAcentral